RNAcentral lists this ribosomal RNA (440 nucleotides) under uncultured bacterium. RNAcentral describes it as "partial 16S ribosomal RNA". It matches the Rfam family "Bacterial small subunit ribosomal RNA", at positions 338 to 795 of the family's 1533-position model. The record is from RNAcentral.
CCUACGGGUGACAGCAGUGGGGAAUAUUGCACAAUGGGGGAAACCCUGAUGCAGCGACGCCGCGUGAAGGAAGAAGUAUUUCGGUAUGUAAACUUCUAUCAGCAGGGAAGAAAAUGACGGUACCUGACUAAGAAGCCCCGGCUAACUACGUGCCAGCAGCCGCGGUAAUACGUAGGGGGCAAGCGUUAUGCGGAUUUACUGGGUGUAAAGGGAGCGUAGGCGGUUUAGCAAGUCAGAAGUGAAAGCCCGGGGCUCAACCCCGGGACUGCUUUUGAAACUGUUGAACUAGAGUGCAGGAGAGGUAAGUGGAAUUCCUAGUGUAGCGGUGAAAUGCGUAGAUAUUAGGAGGAACACCAGUGGCGAAGGCGGCUUACUGGACUGUAAAUGACGCUGAGGCUCGAAAGCGUGGGGAGCAAACAGGAUUAGAUACCCGAGUAGUC